Long non-coding RNA from Nomascus leucogenys (northern white-cheeked gibbon), 7610 nucleotides. RefSeq lists it as uncharacterized. The record is from RefSeq and is a predicted model, not a curated record. NCBI's taxonomy places the organism in Eukaryota, Metazoa, Chordata, Mammalia, Primates, Hylobatidae. The transcript has 2 exons.
GCGCCUGGCCAUGGGUUGAAGUUUUUAAAUGCAUGUUUUCUGGUAGUUAAUUGCCUGAUUCUGUCUUAUAAUUGCAUUUCAGUUCUCUUCAUCUUGUCCAUACACGUAAUAAUGCUUAGUAUAUGAAUUUUAUGUAAUAAAGCAAGGUAUAUUUUCAUGGGAUUUUUUGUAGUGGGAGAAUGACAUCUGAGCCUGAAAUAGGAUAUUUGUGUUGUAACUUUUUCAGUGUCAUACGAUACCAUUUUUGACCACUUAGUUGAUGCCUCUGAAAGGAAGAGAGAAUCAGAUCGCUAAAAUUUGAUGUGUCGUCAGUGUGGAUCCUACUCAGUAGUGUCACAACGAGGCUGAAAAUCAUAUUAAGUGCUUUUAGGACAGAAACGUAAACUGCUCAGGUAAAAUAACCUUGUAAAGAGAAAUAAGCAUAUAUUGCAGAGGCCUUGGCUAGGUUCAUGAUGACACAGGACCUUGUCUGAACAUAAUGAUUUCAAAAUUUGAGCUUAAAAAUGACACUCUGAAAUCCAGUCAGUGUGCCUCACUAGACUUUUCGAUUUCAAAAUUUUCUGCAGAAAAUGCUGUGAAAACUUUGAAUACUUAAAAAUGGCAGGUGUAGUAUUGCACUUUGCUAGUUGCUCAGAUACCCUUUUUUAUUUGUAUAGAUAUUCUGAGUUCCUUUUUUUUCCUACAUGUUGUACAUUGUCGAAAGCUAAAAGGAAACUUACCCUUGGAUCACGGAAGGCAGAGGCACUUGGUGAGAUGGAAACAAGGAUGUGUAAAAAUGAGACUACCACUUCUCGGAUAAAAAAAAAGUGCCAGAGUUCUAGGGUUCUAAGUGAUGCCCAGGAAGGAGGAGGAAUAAUAUUUACGGAGCAUAUAUUAUGGAACACACAUCUACUUCUCGUGGAUUUACAUAUGUUGGGUUUCGGAAAUUUCAACAUACAGUUUGGCAUUCCAGUGGCUAUAGUUGUUUUUUGAAAUUUAGUACUGUUUUCCAAUGAUGAUUCUCUUUGAGAAUAGACUGUGUUCUCUUUUACUUAAAAACUGUAAAAUUAGCCACUUCAGUUGAGACUCCUCCAGGUUUGGAAGUGGUGAAGAAUAUGGAUAUAUUCAGGUCAAAUCAGUCAUUCUCUGUGGUACAGCAACUGAACAAGAAACCCAGACUUCAAACAAGCAGACUUCUUUGGGUUGGACUGAAUAAAAUGAGAAGAAAUUACAGAGGAUUUAAAAAUAUAUGUGGCCUAGGAAUUAUUGAAAUUAUUUUGGAGGGUGGCAACCAAUUUGGGACAUUGUACAUUUUGUUUUAAUGUCAAUUGUGUAAUGCGUAACUCUAGUGAGCAUGGCUGGACACCGUGGCUUCACAUUUUAGGUAGACUGGGUGUUUUAUCUACUGAGUGAAUUACAGCCUUAGACAAUGAUGUCAAAGCAGCAACAAAAACCAAAAAAUCCAUCCUUUAGAAAUUGUUUAAGUCACAAUGAUGACACCUUCUUUAAAAGCUUUGACUUACUGAAAUAAUGCUUUUCAUUUGUCUAAGAUGAGUACAUAGCAGAAUUUGGAAAUAUGGUUCCAAAAGGCUAGACUGACUUUUUUGAUGUUUUUCACUUAUAGGGAGAAAGAAACAUUAAUGGUUUAUCGGAUGCCUUGACUGUACUUUUUACUGCUUUGUCUUCAAGGCCUAGUGUAAUAAUUAGCAUCUAGUAAAUGUUUGAUGGAUAGUCAAUUUUUGUUUCAUUGGUAUGUUGUUACCACAAUCAUUGGUAGAGUCAAUACAUGAAUGAAGAAAGUAUAACAAAUUUGCCCUCUAGUAGAGUACAGGCAAAGUAUGACUGUCAGUUUCACCCUGAUUUUUUUUCCUCCAUUCUUUGUUAGGGUUUAGGUCAAGAACAAGGGCAUUUCAUUGUACCACAUAGCUGAGAGUAGGGAAUUGGGACAUACUGUCUUGCUUUAAAUUAAAGUUGUCUGUUUCAUCAAGUAGAGAGGUUCCUAAGAUACUGUCAGAUUUCUGGCUGGGAGUUUGUUAAAAAUAGAGAAAAGGUAGUUCCUUAAGGUUGUAUUUUAUUGGAUGCCUCCACCUGCUUCAGGCUAGCUCACUGGAGAAUAAAUAUUCCAGGUUAAAAAAAAAAGCAUGUGUUCACAUGAACUUGUCCUUUGAGCAAACUUGUUGGAAAUCAAGAGGGCAUUGCUGUUGGAGAGGAUAAGAGGGUGUACUUGUUGGUGUGUUAAGAGUAGUUGACAACAUAAAAAUAAAUGUAAAUGCAUCUAUUAUAUUUGGGUUGGCAAAAUAUAUUGGUUAUUGACUCUGUUGAUUCCUGUAGUGUACAUAACUAUGAUCUACAACUCAGUGUAAACAAAAAGGCUUGAAAAAUUGUUCUGAAAAUGGACAAAUCAUGAACAGAUAAUUGAACGAGAAAAUAAGCAGAAAGUAAAUUUGUAAAAUAUUUCAAACUCAUUUACAUUCAGAAACAUCUUUUUAAGAUCACUGUGAUACAUUUGACUGUCAAUUCUGGAGAGACGUAUAAAGGAGAUGCCAGCUAAGGAGCAAGGAAACAGCUUUCAUUCAUGGGCUAAAUUGCAGCUUAAAAAAGAUGGACCAGGAUUAUUUCCUUUAGAAACUUACUGUACAAAAGAUACUGUUCACUCCAUUAGAUCUGGAGUUACUCUUCCAUCUGAGGGCUUUGUCAUCUUAACUGUAUUCACAUACUUUGAACUGCUCCGUUUGCUUCUAACCUCAGAUUCUUUAAUUCAUCUAUCCGGCAGAGCUGAUUUGGGGAAAACAAGACAAACCUUGUCAGGUUCUCUUAAUAAAUAAGCAGUUGUCAUGUUUCAAGAGCUUUAGAAAUGAGCAAUAAUCAAGGAAGAGGACAACGAUUGCCUACAUUUAUAAUAUUUAGAACAUCUUUUGCCACAGUAAACACUGGAAACCACCCACUUGUGGACACCAAACAUUUGGAUUAGUAUAUUUUGUGGCAUUCCCUCACUCUAAUCCUCUCAUCCUUAAAAAUUUUCAGAAAUUUUUACAGCAAGAAACACUGAUUGUAGCAUAUGAUUUAGGGUAGAUUUGUGAACCAUUUUUUCACUGAAGUACAUCAACAGGAGUGAGUAGUCUGAGUGACCACCCCAGCAUGGAGAAAAUUGUAGUUUACAGAUUCAUCUGGGGUAUUUUUAUUUCUAGGCUGCGGUGGAAGUCUAAACCCCCUUGGAGAUGUCUGCCUUAAAGGGUCUUUGGCCAGCAUCCACUGUAGAGCCAUAGUCCAGAUCUACUCUAUUUGCAUGCUCCUUACAGCAUCAGAACAGCAACUCUCAAUCCGGAUUCAUCCCCAAAAUGCCAUCUGAGUCAUAGAUUGGCAGGUGCAUAAAGAAUUAUCUACUGAAUUGAAAAACAUUUCAAAUAUAUAAAACUUGAAAUAUUUUGGGUAGUCUGUACAAACUCAAGUUGACAAGCCAACCCUGCAGGGGAAGGAUAACAUUUGUUGAAUUCAGCUAGAUGCCUCAUCAGCUAGAAAACCUUGGAAGAAAGAAAGAUUGAUACUUGCCUGAACUUCAUCAACCAAGAAUAUUUUUUUCUUGAUGUGGAGAGUCCACUCGCCUUUUGAAGAUUUACCAGUAAAAGCCCUUCACAUGAUAUGCUUGUGUGCACAUGCAAUAAGGACAUCAUUCCCCAACUCCUCCUAGCAUUGUGAAAGAGCUCCAAAUAUUCAAAUAAUAUAAACUUUUUUUCGUGGACAUUUAGCUUACGAGUUUGUUUAAAUAUGGGAAAAUUAUGUUUGGAUAAUAGUAUUGAAAUGAAAAUAUAAGAUACACAUUGAAUGAUAAAUGUGUAUGAAUUGUUCAUUGUGCCUUAGGUAAGCCAGACAGUGAAAUUAAAUGUGUAAUAGUUGUAUUUUUUUGCAUAAUCUUAGAAUGUAAUUAGUUAAAAGCAAACACUUAGAUUUUGAACAUGAAUCUAUUAAGCUUGUUAAUGUAGUUGCUGUGGCUAAAUAACUGGUUUCCUAGGGAAGCUUCUAUUUGGUAGAAUUUUAUUCUGGAACAGUUGUUAGAAAGGAAUUCUCAGGUCACCUUUUAAGGAUAUACACAAUUCUCUAUUCACUUUUUGAGUGCAUAAGGGUAAUAGAAAAUGAUAUGGGAAGUGUUAAUUAGAAAAAAAGGCAUUUUGUUUAUGUGCAUUUGAGGAUACAGUGUAUGAAGUUUCUAAAUAAUUGUUUUAUGACAUUUUCUUGGUACAUAGAUAUUGCUAACAAUUAGUUUGCUGAAGUAUAUAGAAACAUUUUGAGAAAUGAUUUUAGAAAUCUAAUUGUUAAAGUACCUCUGAGUGAUGUACAUUAAAAAUCCUUUUAUUUUGGUUUAUUGCUAUGGAUGUUUUUCUGGGGGAACUCAAUGUAUACAACUUCUAACUUAGAAGUUUUAUUAAUGCUGCUUUAUGUAUGAAAGUCAUGGAUGUAGAUGUUAUUUUUGUCAGUGGUCUUUCUGUUAAAAUUUAUUUACAUGGUAUAAGAUUUUCUUUUCAUGAUGGAAUUGCCGAAAAAGCCAGCCUCUAGAACACUUACAUGUUAAGGGUUGGGUGGGGUUUGUAUUACUUUGUAUAUAUAACCGACAGGAUUGUGUUACUAAAUCUUAACCAGCAUAGAGAUGGCUGACAUUUUGCAUUUUGGGGGACAUUAAAUUGUUAAACAAUGAUGUCAUUGGUUACUGAUAGGAGUGUCUAGACUCUUAGAUGGCUUUGUUAGUAUUAGGCAAAUAUUAGAUGUGGAUUUAGGAGAUAAGAGGGUGGGGUGUUGGAGCCCUGUGUGCGUAUGAGCAUAUGUUGCAGGGCCUCCAGACCUAAAUCCAUGUGAAGAUGUUGGUGGUGGUCUUACAUAUAUGUUAACAUUACAUUAUAAACAGGUAGACUACUUUCCUUUUGCUAGUGGGAGUGUUAAAUCACCUCUCAGAACAUUAAUUCAUUAAAUUGCCCCUAAACAUUAAUGCAUUGCUGGUGGAUAUGCUUAAUGUUUUUAACAUCUAUUUUUCUAAAUGUAUAGACGUCAUUUUUAAUUCAUAUUGGAUAGAACCAGUUUUGCUUGCAAAAAGCAAACUGCUCAUUGGAUCAUUGUGCUUAAUUUUUAGGUUGUGGUAGAUAUAAUAGAAAUGUUCUUACAAUUUAUAGUAUAAUACUGUAUAUCGCAACAUAAAUAUAUAUGUGACUGUUUUUCUGACAGAUGCAACAUGAUGGAAAUGUCAUCAUAAAUGUUGGUCUGCCUUUGUUUAUAGUUUUCAGAUGUGUAUAUGCAGUUUUUUAUAUAACAGAAAAAUUGCCACAUGAGUCAAAUAGCAUAGGUUAGAAAAGUUCUCAUUUGCCAAAAAAAUGUGACUUUCAUAAUAGUGAGUUGUUUUUGAUUUAAAAUGUUUCUAUCUGUAGAGGCAUUUUAUUAGUUUUUAUGGGGAUACUAGCAAUGGAAUGUGAAACCUGAGUUCAUUAGAUCAUGGGGUGAUAAUGGAACCCUUAUGUGUGUACAAUAUACAUGUAUACAAUAUACAUUGUUAUAUGUUUUUUAAAGCAUAGGAGCUAUUAUGUCUGCAUGUUUCUAAAUAUAUAUACACACACGUAAACACAUAUUUAUAUAUCUAUAUAUAGAUAGAUAUGUACAUACAUAUGUAGUGAAAGAUUUUGUUCCCUCCCUCACAUAGGCAGAUUAUUUAUGUGUAUAAAUAAUUGAGCAGCUGAAGGGGAAUUUUGUUACAUGUGUAUAAAACAGUCACAAUAUAUAAUUGUUUUGCUUUAAUUGUUUAGUCUUUGAUUUGUAGGAAUUGCCGACACGUGUAUUUGUGUGUAUGCAGGUUUAUAUAUACAUACAUAUCACUGUAUAAACAACAUUUAUUGUCAUAGGAUAGAAAUAUUCUUAAGUUGCCAGAGAUAUUGUAUGGAUGCUAAAUAUAUAGUAGAAAAAUGUUACCUUUUGCUUUUUAGCAUCUGCAUACAGAUUACUAAUAGGCAUAUAUUGUGACCAGUAAACCACUAGACAAGGGCAUAAACACUUUAGUUUGAUCAGUAGAAUUGCUAUGCCAUGUUUAUAUGGGAUUUAUUUGGUUGAUGCAGAAUAUAUAAUUAUAUUGUAUAUAGAAGAUACAUAUUACAACAAUAUUUUUGAAUAUGCAAUUUCUGUCAUUUUUUGGAAAUAUAUUUUUAUUCAAAAGUAGAAUCAUUGUUUGCCAAUAGAGUUAGCUUCUUUGUGUGCUUGUGAGGUUUCGUUUUGAGGGUUUUCUUGGUUUUGUUUUGGGUUCUGGAGUUUUAAAAAAUGAGAUUGUCUAAAAAAUUUUUAUAUAAAAAUAUACAUUUUUAUAUAUUUUUUUCUUAUUCCAACCUAAUUGGUGGCUUGUCCCUUCCUGUGUUUAUUGGGCUGUUGGGUGCCUGGAUAGAGCUGGAGGCCAUUCGACUGCUGUGUGAGUAAUAGAUAAGUGUCUUGAAUAACAUCUGAAUUUCCUAGAUAUGUAGAAACACCCACCACGCACAUAUAUGAACAUACAGAAUAUAUGAAUGUUAAAAUAUGGUGAAAACAGUCUUUUGCCAAUAGAAGUGUUAACCUUUAUUUGUUUUUAAAUUUGGUGUGUAUGUAGAGGUUUAUUUGAUUGUUAGUUGUGUCCAUGUAUAAUAUGUCAUCUACCUUUACAGAUGUGCAGAAGUUUGUUGUAUUUAGUGGAUAUAUUUUACUUAAAACUAUAGGGCAGAAGCUUUUUAUGUUUGUUGAAGUGAAAUGGCAUACCCAACCUGUGUGGUAGAGUGGAAUUUUUAGAUUGCUGUGUGUACAGUCAGGUUAUAUCUUUAAAAUACCUAUUAUUUAUAUAUUAAUAUAUAGACAUUGCUGAUAUAUAUGUAUAUAAAAAUCAGAGGUAUUUUUAUUAAUAUAGGCAUUAGCUUCUUGAUUCACUUGUUUGUUGGGAAGCAUGUGGAGAAGGAUGUUGAAUACUUUGUCAUUUCAUUUCUGUGAUAUACAGUUGUCACGUCAACCCUCCUAUCUGUGGGUUUUGCAUCUGCAAGCACAUGCAGCUGGAAAGUACAGCAUUGGCAGAAUCUGAAACCCGAGUAAACAGAGCACUUCAUUUUCAUAACCAUGGGUUCUGAAGAGCUGAGGGAGUUGAGUAUGCACUGAUUUUGGUAUGGGGGUAUGGUACAGGUACAAAUCCCCGAUGGAUAUCGCUAGACAGCUGUACAAUCCUCUUUAGCUUUUUUUUGUUUUAUAGACAGUGUGGACAGGCAUAUAUUGCAAGCAUCACUUUGUUAAACUAUGCUUAACCCUGCAAAUGAUUUUAAGAGCUCUGUGUGGGUGGCUCUCUUGGGUUUACUAUUAAAUAGCUGUGUUUAUCAUAGUUGUUCUAUAACAUUUCAACUUUGUAAAUAUGUAGUUUGUUGAUAAAGAGGAUAGAGACAUUUGUCUUUUGUUGAUAGAUUAUUUUUCCCCUUUGUGUAGAUUGUUUUUUCCCCUUUGCGUAGUCUUCAUUGUGUUGCUGGGAUUGUAAAAGACAAAUUACUUGCACAUAUUUAAGCUUAUAUAUUAAAUGUAUAUAUGCUGUCAUGUUAGAGAGGGAGAGUGGUUCCCUCCCCCACAUUUUUAUUUAAAAGUAAAAAUUAAUUUUUAUUAAA